Molecule: unclassified non-coding RNA, 21 nt
Filed under: Mus musculus (house mouse)
Lineage: Eukaryota; Metazoa; Chordata; Mammalia; Rodentia; Muridae
Description: oocyte_clustered_small_RNA407
Source: RNAcentral
UUGCUGCCUUUGGGUCUUCCU